CACACCACAGGACUGCUUCCUCUGCCUGCUGUCUCUAAUGGCUGCAUUCAUUAGGACUCCAGGAAGCAUUUGGCCAUCUUGUAUACCGGAAACUACACAUCCCUGCAUGGAGCACACAUGCUCAGUACACCAGGGGCUGACCCUUGCCUGGGCAUGUCUCCUGUCACUAGGGUCACACAAGGUCUGCCCAUAUAAAAAGGGGCAGUGAAAACAGACCCAGUGGGAUGCCUUCUCCAUCUGGACCAGCACCAUGCCACACCACCUAUCUACCCAGAGGCCCUGCCAGUGACCCCCCUCUGGACAACACCUACUGGACAAGAACUCCUUUCCAGCCUGGAUAGGUAGCUAUCACCCCCCACCCCCUCUUCAACCAAGGACUUGGACUCUGCUUCUCUUCCCUACCUGGACUCCAACCCUUCCACUGAGUCUCUUUCUCCUGCUGCCAUUGUGAUCGCGUGUGCAUACCAUUAACUUCAUGGGGCUGUGUAGUGUGUUGUCUGUCUAAUAAAACUGCUAUUUGGACCUCUAAGUUGGGUUUUGCUUUA
Long non-coding RNA from Alligator mississippiensis (American alligator), 545 nucleotides. RefSeq lists it as uncharacterized. The transcript is spliced from 2 exons. NCBI's taxonomy places the organism in Eukaryota, Metazoa, Chordata, Crocodylia, Alligatoridae. The record is from RefSeq and is a predicted model, not a curated record.